GACGAACGCUGGCGGCGUGCUUAACACAUGCAAGUCGAGCGGAAAGGCCACUUCGGUGGUACUCGAGCGGCGAACGGGUGAGUAACACGUGAGUAAUCUGCCCCUGGCUUUGGGAUAGCCACCGGAAACGGUGAUUAAUACCGGAUACGACCACUUCUCGCAUGGGAUGGUGGUGGAAAGUUUUUUCGGCCAGGGAUGUGCUCGCGGCCUAUCAGCUUGAUGGUGAGGUAAUGGCUCACCAUGGCUUCGACGGGUAGCCGGCCUGAGAGGGUGACCGGUCACACUGGGACUGAGACACGGCCCAGACGCCGACGGGAGGCAGCAGUGGGGAAUAUUGGACAAUGGGCGGAAGCCUGAUCCAGCAACGCCGCGUGAGGGAUGACGGCCUUCGGGUUGUAAACCUCUUUCAGCAGGGACGAAGCGCAAGUGACGGUACCUGCAGAAGAAGCACCGGCCAACUACGUGCCAGCAGCCGCCGUAA
RNAcentral lists this ribosomal RNA (481 nucleotides) under uncultured bacterium. Its description in RNAcentral is "partial 16S ribosomal RNA". It matches the Rfam family "Bacterial small subunit ribosomal RNA", at positions 28 to 523 of the family's 1533-position model. The record is from RNAcentral.